UGGCGGCGUGCCUAACACAUGCAAGUCGAGCGAGAAAGGGGAGCAAUCCCUGAGUAAAGCGGCAGACGGGUGAGUAACACGUGGGUAAUCUGCCCUUGAGUGGGGAAUAACAUCUCGAAAGAGGUGCUAAUACCGCAUGACAUCCACGGUCCCACGGGAGCGUGGAUCAAAGGUGGGGAUCUUCGGACCUACCACUCGAGGAGGAGCCCGCGCCUGAUUAGCUAGUUGGUGGGGUAAUGGCCUACCAAGGCGACGAUCAGUAGCCGGCCUGAGAGGGUGAACGGCCACACUGGAACUGAGACACGGUCCAGACUCCUACGGGAGGCAGCAGUGAGGAAUUUUGCGCAAUGGGCGAAAGCCUGACGCAGCAACGCCGCGUGGACGAUGAAGGUCUUCGGAUCGUAAAGUCCUGUCGAGUGGGAAGAAAAAUGUGGGGGCUAAUAUCUCCCGCAUUCGACUGUACCACCAGAGGAAGCCCCGGCUAACUCCGUGCCAGCAGCCGCGGUAAUACGGAGGGGGCUAGCGUUGUUCGGAAUUAUUGGGCGUAAAGGGCGCGUAGGCGGCCGGAUAAGUCUGACGUGAAAUCCCUCGGCCUAACCGGGGAACUGCGUUUGAAACUGUUCGGCUCGAGU
Molecule: ribosomal RNA, 632 nt
Filed under: uncultured soil bacterium
Lineage: Bacteria
Description: bacterial SSU rRNA
Rfam family: Bacterial small subunit ribosomal RNA
Source: RNAcentral